This 464-nucleotide ribosomal RNA is filed under the name uncultured bacterium. RNAcentral describes it as "partial 16S ribosomal RNA". It matches the Rfam family "Bacterial small subunit ribosomal RNA", at positions 29 to 507 of the family's 1533-position model. The record is from RNAcentral.
ACGCACGCUGGCGGCGUGCUUAACCCAUGCAAGUCGAACGGAAAGGCCCCUUUGGGGGUCCUCGAGUGGCGAACGGGUGAGUAACACGUGAGUAACCUGCCCUUGACUUCGGGAUAACUUCAGGAAACUGGGGCUAAUACCGGAUAGGAAUCCUUGCUGCAUGGUGGGGGUUGGAAAGCUUCGGCGGUUUUGGAUGGACUCGCGGCUUAUCAGCUUGUUGGUGGGGUAGUGGCUUACCAAGGCUUUGACGGGUAGCCGGCCUGAGAGGGCGACCGGCCACAUUGGGACUGAGAUACGGCCCAGACUCCUACGGGAGGCAGCAGUGGGGAAUAUUGCACAAUGGGCGGAAGCCGGAUGCAGCAACGCCGCGUGCGGGAUGACGGCCUUCGGGUUGUAAACCGCUUUCAGCAGGGGCGAAGCUUGUGGUGACGGUACCUGCAGAAGAAGCACCGGCUAACUACGUG